GCUCAGGAUUUUAUCCACACCUGACCUCAUCCCACCAUGUCUUUUGGAUGACUGUUCUGGUGCUUCCUCCUGGACAUCUUGCAGAAACUCAGCUCGAGGAAGUUCACUUCUGGUUCUCAUCUCCUCUGCUGUUCUCCCUGCUCAAAGAGGAGAAUGUGCAUUUACAUGCAUAGGUGUGAAAUGAACAGAAUCAUGAAGUCAGGCAGUUUGGAGAACAAAAACAGCAGCACAGCCUGGGCUGGUGGGAUAAGAGCGUACCAAGAAUGGAAAAAUGCUGGGUGCUAUUGGCAAUUCAACACAGGGUUGGAUUGUUAAGAAUGAGGUGGAAGCUACAAACAACUUAUUCAGACACUGUUACAAACAGCAGCAAUUGCAGAUUACAGCGACCUGAAAGAAAGCUGCGGACUGGAAGAGCAAGUACAGAAUGCAGAUCUCUGAUAUGCAGACUAAGGUGGAAGCAGUAAGUGAGGAAGACCUAUUGCGGUAUUCAUCCCUUCUGCUGUGUAAGAGGCAAAAUCUGAAAUCAGUGUAUUUCUUCAUAUUCUGAUACUGCCCUGAUGAGGCCAGUAUUUUGUCAAGGAACGAAAAUUAAAACAUUGAAGAAGAAAAAAGACCUGCAUUGAUGAUUUCAAAGCUAAGGAAAAUCGAGUUUAUUUAUAUCCCAGUAAACACACGAUGGCAGGCAACUCAUCACGGCCCAGUUUGCUGAGCUGCUUUCCACUGCUGUAACUUCUUCAAGUAGUUUUCUCCAUUGCAAAAGAGGAGGGGCUCCUGCGUAGUGAGCUGAAGUGAUGGACCGCCAGCUUCAGAGGAAGACACGUGAAAGAGGCGAGGACUUCCCGUAUAGCCU
Lagopus muta (rock ptarmigan) is the source of this 850-nucleotide long non-coding RNA. RefSeq lists it as uncharacterized. The transcript has 6 exons. NCBI's taxonomy places the organism in Eukaryota, Metazoa, Chordata, Aves, Galliformes, Phasianidae. The record is from RefSeq and is a predicted model, not a curated record.